AUGGAGGCCACGGUGAUGAGCGUUGGCAAGUCCGUGCUGAAUCUGCCAUCGCGGAGGAGGUGGCUCUGCAGCUUGGAGUCCGGCAUGACCAGGUCUUCAUCACCAACGAGCUCGAGAUGAUGCAGGCUUUUCUCAUGGCCGCGCAUGAUGAAGGGGACGAAAACAGCAAGGUGGUCCGGGUCUGGGUAAAGCAAGUCCGCGACCUAGCCUACGAUGUUGAGGACUCCCUCCAGGAUUUCGCAGUCCGCCUAGAGAAGCAGCCCUGGUGGCGUAUCCUUCUGAAGGAUCGGCGCCAGGUGGCGAAGCAAAUGAAGGGGCUCAGAGCUAAUGUUGAAGAUGUCAGCCAGAGGAAUAUGCGCUACCACCUUAUCAAGGGCUCCGCAGGCUCUAAUCCUUACAGCACCGAUGGGCAGUCUGCCAUCACCGGUGCCAUGACAAUGUCUAGCACAGAGGAUGCAAGGCGGCAGAGGGAGAAGGCAAAAGCACAUCUUGUUCAACUGAUAAGGAAGAUGGAUGACCGCCUUCGAGUGAUAGCGGUGUGGGGAACGAGUACUGAUGUUGGGGAAACGUCCGUCAUAAAAAGAGCCUUUGAAGAUCUGAAGAAACACAACAGGUUUGAUUGCCAUGCUUGGAUCAAGGUGAUGUGCCCUUUUAAUUCAGUAGAGUUCAUGCGAAGCAUUAUCAGGCAAUUCUAUAUAAACCUUUUGCAAGACCCAGUAGAAAAUAUGGAUGCCCAAGUACUGAGGGGGAUGGGAAUGAAGAAGGAGAAUGAUGUGGUUGACGAGUUCAAGUCUUAUUUGAAUGAAAAGAGUUACCUAAUUGUGAUUGAUGGCAUGUCUACCACUGAAGAGUGGGAUCAAAUUAAACCAUGCUUUCCCAAUAACAAGAGAGGAAGCCGGAUUAUAGUGUCAACAAAGCAAGUUGAAGUUGCAAGCUUAUGCGCAGGGCCACAGAACGUAGCGCCAGAGCACAAGCAGUUGUCCAUUGACCAGAAUACUCUUUAUGCUUUCUUUGAGAAGGGUUCUCAAGAUGGAGAUUCGACGGAGGCCGGGUCUAGCAGCACAAACUCAACCACUACUGCCAGUCACAUCUUGGUGAAUAACAAGAUGCUCACUCGCAUGGAGACAACGCUAGCAGCAUUUAAGGAAUUUCAGCUCAUCGGGCGAGAGAAAGAAAAAUCAGAGAUUAUCCAACUAAUCACAAAUGGAGAUGGCCGCCAAUUUGAGGUGAUCUCUGUGUGUGGAAUGGGUGGUCUUGGAAAAACCACAGUAGUGAGAGAUGUUUAUCAAAGCCAAGAGCUCAGAGGCAAGUUUGAGAAGUGUGCCUGUGUUACAAUUAUGCGUCCUUUCAAUUGUGAUGAGCUCCUAGAGAACUUAGCUGGGCAGUUUGGAUACGAGGAUGUGGCAGAUAUGAUCAGACAUUUAGAAGGAAAGAAAUGUUUGAUUGUUCUAGAUGAUCUAUCAUCCAUGAGAGAAUGGGAUGCAAUCAUCCCGCAUUUUACUGCAUUGGAAACAUCAAGCCGGAUCAUAGUCACCACAAGGGUAGAGGAUAUUGCUAAACAUUGUUCAAAGAAACGUAAAAAUAUAUACAAGCUCCAAGGUCUGGAACUCAAUGAUGCACAUGACCUCUUCAUACAAAAGGUUUUUGACAAGACUACGGAUUUGGAUGAGCAGUAUCCUGAGUUGGUUGAACAAACAAAUAUUAUUUUAAAGAAAUGCAAGGGACUUCCCCUUGCAAUAGUCACCAUAGGUGGUUUCCUGGCAAACCAGCCAAAAACAGCCUUGGAGUGGAAGAAACUGAAUGAGCAUAUUAGUGCUGCAGAGUUACAGAUGAAUCCAGAGCUUGAGGCCAUCAUAACAGUCCUUAAUAAAAGUUAUGAUGGUUUACCAUAUCAUCUCAAGUCUUGUUUCUUGUAUCUUUCCAUCUUUCCUGAGGACUAUAACAUUAAGCUCAAACGUUUGUUGCGGCGGUGGAUUGCUGAAGGUUACCCAGGUGUAGUGCGUAACAAGUCUACAGAGGAAGUAGCAGAGAGCUACUUCAUGGACCUCAUAAGCAGGAGCAUGCUUUUGCCAUCCCAAAGAUCAAUUUGUGAUGGAAAAAGGAUUGGCUCCUGCCAAGUCCAUGAUCUCAUCCGUGAAAUCGGCAUCUCAAAGUCGAUGGAAGGAAAUCUUGUUCUUAGAUUGGAGGAAGGUUGCAGCUUAAACACCCAGGGCACAGCACGCCACCUUGCUGUAAGCAGCAACUGGGAGAGAGAUCAGGGUGCAUUCGAGAGCAUAGUGGACAUGUCCCGUGUACGUUCAAUAACGGUCUUUGGAGAAUGGGAGCCAUUUUUCCUUUCUGACAAGAUGCGGCUUCUGCGAGUGCUGGACUUGGAAGACACGACAGGUCUAGUUAAUCAUCACCUUGAGCAUAUCGGGAAACUUCUUCACCUAAGAUACCUUUCGCUAAGAGGAUGUGAAUCUAUCUGUCACCUGCCAGAUACAUUAGGUAACCUGAGGCAACUGGAUACACUAGAUAUCAGAGGUACCUCCAUUGUAAUGCUACCACAAACAAUCAUCAAGCUUCAGAAGCUACAACAUCUCCAUGCUGGGUUUCCAACAAAAGGAAAUUAUUUAUGUACAAGGCAUCUGCUGCACACUUAUGGCUUCAACCAGCUUGAUGCAUGCACUUCUUUAUGCUGUGGUGCCGCAACUCCUUGUAUCAUGAUGGACAAAGAUUAUGGUGGUGUUGUGUUGCCAGGAGGGGCCAGGAAACUGAAAUCCCUGCACACUAUAAGGGGUGUGCACGUUGCAUAUGGAGAUGCCGUUAUACAGGAGAUUGGAAGACUCAGCGGGCUACGCAAGUUAGGAGUGAUGGGCAUCAAUGAGAAAAAUGAUGUAAAGUUUUGUUCAGCCAUUUCCAAUCUUAGCCGCCUAGAGUCAUUAUCAGUGCAGUCAGACAAGGGAUGCCUAGAUGACAUUACCUCGCCUCCGAAGAACCUCCGGAGCCUCAAACUGGAGGGCCGCCUGGGCGUAUUGCCAGAGUGGAUCAAGAAGCUUCAGAAUCUUGUGAAGUUAAAGCUGAGCUUCACAACAUCUAGCCAGGUUGAGCAGGACGCUGCUAUGGAAGUCCUGGGACAUCUGCCAAACCUAUCCAUUCUCCGAUUGUCGGGGUGUUUAUUCAAGGCUGGAGAGCUCCAUUUCCAAAAGGAUGCUUUCAGAAGCAUUGUGGUAUUUGAUGUCGAAGGCUUAGGGGGGAUCAAGUCGGUGAACUUUGACCAAGGAGCAAUGCCCGAACUCGAGCAGCUCAAGGUAACCGAUGCUUGUAAAAGAGGUGGAAUUGGGUUCUUUGGGCUGGAUAUCCUCCCGAGCAUCAAGGAAGUAUUGCUUAGCGUUCAUUUCAAGAUGGACCGUGCGGGUACAGAGUUAGAGAGGGAAGCACGGCUCAAGGAACAGUUCCGGACCCAGCUUGCUAGAAAUCCAAAGAAACCCAUUCUGAAGAUGGAAUGA
RNA transcript from Triticum aestivum (bread wheat), 3488 nucleotides. It is a transcript of the gene named disease resistance protein PIK6-NP-like, with no coding region annotated. The record is from RefSeq and is a predicted model, not a curated record. The transcript has 3 exons. NCBI's taxonomy places the organism in Eukaryota, Viridiplantae, Streptophyta, Magnoliopsida, Poales, Poaceae.